This 361-nucleotide long non-coding RNA is filed under the name Setaria viridis. RNAcentral's name for it is "long non-coding RNA (SVIR_LNC003745)". Lineage: Eukaryota; Viridiplantae; Streptophyta; Magnoliopsida; Poales; Poaceae. The record is from RNAcentral.
UCCUGAUCCUUCCAUUGCAAUGCUAAUGAUAAGGUAUUUGUGAUUUCUAAUAUAGUCAACAUGAGACCCAAAUGGAAGACAAAGUCAAAAGAUUGGAAGUAUCGUAGAAGGUUUGAUGCUUGAUCUCUAAUUUUCCAAUCUUUUUUAUCUUUUCCCACAAUUUCUAGUACCUGUAGGAAACAUGUCAACCAAACUUUUGAGAGAUUUAUAAUGGGAACUCCAGCGAGUAUCUCCAGAUCUUUGAAGACUUUGCUCUUGAUUCAACCCUGUCCCGGUCUGAAGCUACCCGCAACCUAAUGCUUUACUCAUUUCUUGAAGAUUAAUAUCUCUAAUCAUGUCCCUUCUCUUAGAUGAUCCACCC